CAAUUAUAUAAAUCAAAACAUAAUGGUUAUUCCUGAUUAAUUUUUUGAAUUAUUUUAUAAUUAAAGGCGUUAAGAAACCUUUGGUGACCCCACAGUUUAAAUGUCUAUCGUAGGUACGUCAUGAACAGUGGUCGUUACAGACAAACGUUCACGUAAGUUGUCCCAGUCAAUGGAUGAAUUUAAUGUGUCAAUCAAUGGCCACAGCCACACUGUUUUGAAUUUCAUUCUAUUU
This 232-nucleotide long non-coding RNA is filed under the name Mytilus galloprovincialis (Mediterranean mussel). The record is from RNAcentral. Lineage: Eukaryota; Metazoa; Mollusca; Bivalvia; Mytilida; Mytilidae.